This 2135-nucleotide long non-coding RNA is filed under the name Nicotiana tabacum (common tobacco). Its description in RNAcentral is "long non-coding RNA (NTAB_LNC010958)". Lineage: Eukaryota; Viridiplantae; Streptophyta; Magnoliopsida; Solanales; Solanaceae. The record is from RNAcentral.
UUUAGUUUGUGUAUAUGAGUUCUAAAUAUGAGUAGUAGCUACUAAUUCAUUUCAUAAACAACCCCUAAUUCAAUCUGUUUCAUAAACAAUAUCCAACUAAACAGAAAGUAGAAUAAGAACUCAAAAAAUCCAGCAUUCAAUAUUCAAUAUCCAGCUACCAUCCAAGACAAACUAAUAAAAGAAAUUAACCCUUAGUUAUCAAGAUGCUGUAAAACGGGACACGGAAAAUGCACCUGAUGCUAAGAGGGAGUUUAUCUGAGAUUUGAGACUUUUAACAUCACUAGUGACAAGUAUUCCUUAUUUAUCAUCAAUCGACUGAUUUUGAAUGAAUUCCUCCAAGAAUCGUUUGAGAGUAUCCUGUAAAAAAAAAUACAAUUAUUAUAAAAGUAAAUUUUAUUAAAGAAAAUUUAUGCAAGUAUCUUUAUUUUUCAAACUUUAAAUUAAAACAUACGGAAAGAUAAAAAGCUAAGCAGUCUGGCUGGACUUAAUCAUUUUAAUACUAUGUUUCAAAAAUAUCUAAUGUAUGAAACUUAUUCGCAUAUAGAUAAUGUAUCGGUACUUCUAAUGGGAAGAAAUUACUAUACCAUCUUUUUUGUAAAAAUUAAUACUCAUAAGCCAACUAAUAGGCACCACUAGCAUCUGCUUUCAAUUAGAUUCUAUCACCUUCAAUUUCUUUUUUUUAAUAAGGUAAAGAGUACAAAGUAAAUCACCUUCAAUUUCUAAAGAACCAAACACCUAUAAACAAAAAAAAUUAAAUGAAAAUGUUAAGCUAGGACUGUAGCACCUCCCUAGGGAGGUUGCCGCUAACUAAAAAAUAACUAAGCUAACCUAUAAGCAAUUAUUAUUUGAAACUAAUUUAAACAUAUUAUUAUCAUAAUCUAUUAGCGAAAAUAGGCCCAUGUGAAUAAGGUUCAAAAUAUGACAUUUCAACAUAGUAAAAUCUCAUAAAAUUCUUAAAAGUACGAGAAUAUUACUUUUAAAAAUAGUGAGCAGAAUCUAUUGAAUUAAAUCAAUACCUUAAGUUGUAUCAGAUAAUUAUCUGUAAUUCAAGAAAAAAGAAACAAGCUCGUUUAUAAUGUUUUCCUCAAUAACUAAUACACUUGUUUGUAAAUUAUAUUUAUUAUUUAAAACCCUCAAUUCAAGAUAGAACUCAUGGUCAAUAGGGCACACCUCUUAGUGCCUUGCCUACACUGAAGCAUAUCUUAAGCGAGGUAAAGCUCCCUUCCGGAGCUGUUCUGAGCUUUGAAUCCUAAGCGUGCCUUAAAUGAGCCCUUGACAAUAUUGAUAACUAGUAGAGGAAUAUUUUUUAAAAUACUACAACAUUCAACAUUCUAAGCAUGGAAUUUAAUUCUUAAUCUCAAAUACAAACAAGUUAAGUCUCUAAGUUUAAUGCAAGUACCAUAUUAAACAUAUCACAAGAUUUGGACAAAUACUAUGCCAAUAUAGUCGAAUCAUUCACAAAUCAAUUACCAAUUCUAAUAUCUCUUUAACUCAACUACAAAACUUAACCCUCAAUGGUAGACAAAUAAUCUGGGCAGCAGCUCUGCCCUGUAUUGCAGCAGAUUUUUGAGGCAGUAAAUCACAGAACUGGACAUCUUGGUCUUUAUAAUAAUUGUAGAUAUAUCUCUUAUCUUUUUACAGCCUUUUAAAUCACCCCAAUCCGAUUUUUAGAGAAAGAGUUAUGCCCAAAAGAGUAACUGCUGUACAAUUUAAAAACGGGAUUAAAUUUCUGAUUUUAAAUGACUAAAAUUCACCAUGCAAAAGAUAUACUAAUUCACAUAUAGAUAGAGUAAGAAACUUACUGCAAGUUUGAGAGAGUUUCUCCACAAAAUCCAAAACCUAGGGUUUCCAAAAUAAGCUCAUUCCAUCUUGAUUCUUGAAGGUAAAAUCCAGAUCUUCCUUCAAUAGGUAAGUAAAUAGGUUUUAAUAUUUUAAAACUUAAAUUUUAAUGAUGGAAAAAGAAUUGCAUGUAUAUGUGUUGAGCUCUUCAAUGGUGUUUGAUAGAUGAAGAAGGAGGAUAAGACUUUGAGAGAGUAGGGGGGGGGGGGGGAGGGGGCAAACGAAUCCCCCAAAGAAAAAAUCCUAGAAAGUUCUUUCUAUCUAGGGUUAAAAGAUUAUGCUUUACAAAUUUACAC